RNAcentral lists this ribosomal RNA (263 nucleotides) under Loma embiotocia. RNAcentral's name for it is "partial small subunit ribosomal RNA". It matches the Rfam family "Microsporidia small subunit ribosomal RNA", at positions 1049 to 1304 of the family's 1311-position model. The record is from RNAcentral. Lineage: Eukaryota; Fungi; Microsporidia; Glugeidae.
GCGCACUACAGUGGUCGCCGGAAUUACCUGAUAAUUAUAAAGGCGAUCGAGAGGGAAUGAGCUUUNUAAGAGGCUCAGGAACGAGGAAUUGCUAGUAAUCGCGGACUCAUUAAGACGCGAUGAAUACGUCCCUGUUCUUUGUACACACCGCCCGUCGUUAUCGAAGAUGAAGACAGGCGCGAACGAUCUACCAGAAAGUGAGCGCAGGUCUUUAGAUCUGAUACAAGUCGUAACAAGGUAGCUGUAGGAGAACCUGUAGCUGG